GGGGAUUUAGCUCAGUGGCAUAAGCACCUGCCUUACAAGCAGGUGGUCGUGAGUUCGAUCCCUG
Molecule: transfer RNA, 64 nt
Filed under: Cavia porcellus (domestic guinea pig)
Lineage: Eukaryota; Metazoa; Chordata; Mammalia; Rodentia; Caviidae
Rfam family: tRNA
About the family: Transfer RNA (tRNA) molecules are approximately 80 nucleotides in length. Their secondary structure includes four short double-helical elements and three loops (D, anti-codon, and T loops). Further hydrogen bonds mediate the characteristic L-shaped molecular structure. tRNAs have two regions of fundamental functional importance: the anti-codon, which is responsible for specific mRNA codon recognition, and the 3' end, to which the tRNAs corresponding amino acid is attached (by aminoacyl-tRNA synthetases). tRNAs cope with the degeneracy of the genetic code in two manners: having more than one tRNA (with a specific anti-codon) for a particular amino acid; and 'wobble' base-pairing, i.e. permitting non-standard base-pairing at the 3rd anti-codon position.
Source: Rfam by way of RNAcentral